GACAAAUUGGAUGGGCAACAGACUCUCAGGUCAGAGUGUAAUCAAAUUUGAACUCUGUGUGAGGCGACUGACGCGGGAUUAAGUCAGGACAGGAUAAAACUUGUCACGAGUUCUACUCUGAUAAGAAUGGGAAUGUCGCUUUUGUUGGUUUAGCAGCGCUUUUUGAUGCCAGGGCUUCCGACUCCCAGUGAACACGCCGGCGGGAGCACUUUUCCAAACAUUAGGCACGUUCAGGUACAUUACGCAACUGAUUAAACAUGAACUAAAUCAUAUUUUGUAUGAGCGUGGAAGUUCGCGCUGUAGUAACCUUACUUAAACGUGUGGCUAAAGUUGGGUGAGGAUUAUGAACAUCCCUUCUACUUGACCAAUUACCUUUAACCAUCUUCACCUGUGCGCGCUCCCCCGUUGCAUGAGAAAGGUAAGCGAAAGCUUCGUUUUGUUAUUGAUUUUGCGCGAGAGCAUUUUUCUGGUCAUGCCGUUUUUACCAAGCGAUAGUUCUUUGUAUUGUUUUUCUCAAUUUAACUCUUACAUUGUGCUUUGGCUUUCAGCCGUCAUUCACCUUCCGGUCCACAACCCCCCACUCUGGUUUCGGCCGUAGCCCCCGGUCGAUCUGUCAUCCAGCCAUUAAAUAUUACCGCUAUAACUCGUCUGUCUGGACCUCUGCAUUGUGCGACUCGUUUAAGUGCCCACUCUGAAAUAAUUAAUCUGAUGCCCUUCAUCUAGUGCUUGUCUCCGUUUCAGAUGGAGCGCCUGCUUUUAUUUUGUAAACUGUUGUAAAUAGAUUGUGUCCAGAGUCAAAUGCCUGCAUCCCACAGUUCAGCAGGAGACUUCAACAUGCCUCUUCUUCCCUCCGCCACCUCAUCAGUUCAGCAUCAGGUGCCGCAUCAUUAGGGGUUUAUCAUCUGGAGGACGCCCUUGAGGACCAGUGUUGCCCACCUGUGACUUCAAUCGUCUGACAAAGCUCCUCCAGCCUUCACGGCGCCUUCUCCGCCACCAGAUGGCGCAAUUGCGCCGCCCCACGUCUUUCCGCCUGCUCCUGUUGAGCACAUUCCAGUACUGGAUCUUUAUAAGCUGGACACAGGACGGCUUUGGGGUCACUGACGUAGGUGUGUGUGUGUCUUCAGUUUCCCUGCAGAGUCCGGCCUUUGGGGUGGAGCCGUCCCUGACUGUGUCAGAGCGUCCCCUAAUCUUCGCCGACAGCAGCGCUGCUGCCAAGCACAACAAACACCUGAUGCCUCCGCUACAGCUACCUGUCGGGCCGCCUGCCUGCCUGCGGAGGCUCAGACAUGCUCCUCUCACCUCAACAACCAUCAAUGCGCAAUGACAGAUGAGCAGGGAGGUUGCUACUCUUUCAUUCCUGUGCACACAGCGCCGGCUUAGGUUCCUGCAGCCAGACGGAGGAACGGAGCCAGGCCGAUAAGGACGCAGAGGAGGGACCGUGAUGUACAGCUGCAUCCACCAGAUAAAAGCGUUUGAUGCGUACAUGCAGAGAUGCUGAAUGUGAGCUGCUGUGAGAGUGAUCGUCUCAUUAUAAGUGAUGGUGUCAGAGCUCUCCCCAAAUGGUUCAGCUGCACUCAGCUCCUUCACCUCAACCCCUUCUGGAAACGCUCACACUUAGACGUGAGCGUGAAAUACACCACACUGUACUAUGAAGCAAAAAGCAAAUGCAUCCACUAUAAGAUUGAAGGUCACAACAAAUCACAGUGAAUUAAACUUUGUUUCUCUGUUAGUUGCCUGUGUGCUGGAUGUGGUUUUAAAACACAUGCAAGUGGAAAUCCAAAAAGAAGUCACUGCACUUUGAAACCAAAAGCAAAUCAUGCAUCAACUCCACCCAAACACAGCAGAGGAACUGAACUAGUUUGCAAACCUCUACGCAAUCUAAAGUCCAAACAACCACCAGGACCUGCUAGAACCCCUUCUACGCUGCAGUCCAGACCAGAAUCUGAGGCGUCCACUACUGUCAGACCCGCACUGAUCUAGAAGCAGAGCACCUACUGCGUGAAACCCCAGAGAGAAAGAGAGCACCCGCGGGGACUAGGCUAGAGGUCAG
Betta splendens (Siamese fighting fish) is the source of this 2050-nucleotide long non-coding RNA. RefSeq lists it as uncharacterized. The record is from RefSeq and is a predicted model, not a curated record. Lineage: Eukaryota; Metazoa; Chordata; Actinopteri; Anabantiformes; Osphronemidae. The transcript has 5 exons.